GACGAACGCUGGCGGCGUGCUUAACACAUGCAAGUCGAACGGUAAGGCCCUUCGGGGUACACGAGUGGCGAACGGGUGAGUAACACGUGGGUGAUCUGCCCUGCACUUCGGGAUAAGCCUGGGAAACUGGGUCUAAUACCGGAUAGGACCCUGGGAUGCAUGUACUGGGGUGGAAAGCUUUUGCGGUGUGGGAUGGGCCCGCGGCCUAUCAGCUUGUUGGUGGGGUGAUGGCCUACCAAGGCGACGACGGGUAGCCGGCCUGUGAGGGUGACCGGCCACACUGGGACUGAGAUACGGCCCAGGCUCCUACGGGAGGCAGCAGUGGGGAAUAUUGCACAAUGGGCGCAAGCCUGAUGCAGCGACGCCGCGUGAGGGAUGACGGCCUUCGGGUUGUAAACCUCUUUCAGCACCGACGAAGCGCAAGUGACGGUAGGUGCAGAAGAAGGACCGGCCAACUACGUGCCAGCCGCCGCAGUAA
RNAcentral lists this ribosomal RNA (478 nucleotides) under uncultured bacterium. RNAcentral's name for it is "partial 16S ribosomal RNA". It matches the Rfam family "Bacterial small subunit ribosomal RNA", at positions 28 to 523 of the family's 1533-position model. The record is from RNAcentral.